GACGAACGCUGGCGGCGUGCUUAACACAUGCAAGUCGAACGAAGUGGCGAACGGGUGAGUAACGCGUAAUCAACCUGCCCUUGAGAGGGGGACAACAGCUGGAAACGACUGCUAAUACCGCAUACUGAAGGAGGGGAUUGCGACUGAUUAGCUAGCUGGAGGGGUAAAGGCCCACCAAGGCGAUGUUCAGUAGCCGGUCUGAGAGGAUGAACGGCAACAUUGGGACUGAGACACGGCCCAGACUCCUACGGGAGGCAGCAGGAGGGAAUAUUGCGCAAUGGGGGAAACCCUGACGCAGCAACGCCGCGUGGAGGAUGACACUUUUCGGAGCGUAAACUCCUUUUGUUAGGGAAGCGGUACCUAACGAAUAAGCACCGGCUAACUCCGUGCCAGCAGCCGCGGUAAUUC
RNAcentral lists this ribosomal RNA (408 nucleotides) under uncultured bacterium. RNAcentral's name for it is "partial 16S ribosomal RNA". It matches the Rfam family "Bacterial small subunit ribosomal RNA", at positions 28 to 526 of the family's 1533-position model. The record is from RNAcentral.